CCAGACUCUACGGGAGGCAGCAGUAGGGAAUCUUCGGCAAUGGACGAAAGUCUGACCGAGCAACGCCGCGUGAGUGAAGAAGGUUUUCGGAUCGUAAAACUCUGUUGGUAGAGAAGAACGUUGGUGAGAGUGGAAAGCUCAUCAAGUGACGGUAACUACCCAGAAAGGGACGGCUAACUACGUGCCAGCAGCCGCGGUAAUACGUAGGUCCCGAGCGUUGUCCGGAUUUAUUGGGCGUAAAGCGAGCGCAGGUGGUUUAUUAAGUCUGGUGUAAAAGGCAGUGGCUCAACCAUUGUAUGCAUUGGAAACUGGUAGACUUGAGUGCAGGAGAGGAGAGUGGAAUUCCAUGUGUAGCGGUGAAAUGCGUAGAUAUAUGGAGGAACACCGGUGGCGAAAGCGGCUCUCUGGCCUGUAACUGACACUGAGGCUCGAAAGCGUGGGGAGCAAACAGGAUUAGAUACCCUGGUAGUCCACGCCGUAAACGAUGAGUGCUAGAUGUAGGGAACUAUAAGUUCUCUGUAUCGCAGCUAACGCAAUAAGCACUCCGCCUGGGGAGUACGACCGCAAGGUUGAAACUCAAAGGAAUUGACGGGGGCCCGCACAAG
RNAcentral lists this ribosomal RNA (605 nucleotides) under uncultured bacterium. RNAcentral describes it as "bacterial SSU rRNA". It matches the Rfam family "Bacterial small subunit ribosomal RNA", at positions 331 to 929 of the family's 1533-position model. The record is from RNAcentral.